AGUGUACUGAUAUAAGUAGGACACGUGACAUCCCGGCAACUUUGAGAAAAAACACUUUAUAUUGGAGUUGUCUCGAGGAUGCCUAUGCAUAUUCAUGAUAUGAGUCUCUCCAUUGAGCGCAUGCAGUUUGACGUCAACAACCCUCGUCGAAUUGAGUUCCACAGUUCGAGUCAUAAUACCUAUACAACGAGCGGUAAAAACCCGGAAAUUAUUCCAAUUGUUUUUCCAAGAUACAUUUUCCGUGGGGGGUUUUAGAACUACUUUAUGGAAGGGCUAUGUGUAGUGUCUUAACACUUAGUACUUAUUUAUGUAAUAAGAAAGACUCGGAAUACAAGCAAUUGAACUGGAGCUUCACAUUUACUCAAACGGAUGUGACCCUGUGGUAACAAGGCUCCUGAGCCAAUAUCUUCCAUUCCAGCUGGUCAGGACAGCCUUAAACAGCCCAUGGAGCAGCUCAGCCUGGACAGAGCUACAAACAGAUAAUAAAGACAGUCCGUGAUUGGACGUUCUCUCUUCAUCGUCCAAAAGCUGUUUAGUUUGGUCCCGAAGAUUUCCUCAGUCUCUGUCUGGUGAACAGGAUCCAUUUCAUAAAGGGAUCAGAGGCACCAUCUUGGCCUGACUUCAUUGAGAUGUGCUUCUCUGUCUAAAUGGACUGUGUGGUCUGUUUUCUCUCCCACACAUAGAUGUCUUAAUCACGCUUGCUGUGCUGUGUGAGGGCCUUGUUGGAGAUGUUGGCUCUCAGGCACCCUGGUUAGGCUCUGUUGUACUGCUUGAUAUGGAUGCCGUUUUCCGGCCUCAGGCCAGAGUUCAAACUAGCCCACAAACUAGCCCACCUCCUGCUGAACAACUCAGAGGUGUAGCAUCUCACGCUGAUCAAGUGCAACUCUGUAGGAAGCAAGCCAGCCUUUUUGGACUCUUUCACAGUUCAACAUCUGCAGAGGCUGACUGUGUCUUACCCCUUGUGUUGGUCUGGCCAGACACAUGACAUCAUACUGGGGAGGGAAAUGGGUGCACCUUACUAUGAAGAGACCAGGCUAGGAAUCAUCCACAGCUCAGUGCUGAUGGGAGAAUCCAAUGUUGAAGGCCUAUACAUUUCAAACCAAUAUAGACAGCAACGGAAUCCUCCCUUUUUCAUAUCUCCUGUCUGAAGUCAAGCUACCAGAGACUUCCUGUAUAUUUGUAAUUUUUUAUAUACUGUACUAAUGCAGAUUCUUUUUUUCUAUGCUAUCAUUGCCAAUGUACCACUACCUAUGUCUGCGACUACAAUCUUCAUAAUCACUGUUGACCAAACAGAAUGUUUAUCCUUGUGGUCAUUUCAAUAUAAUAAGGUCAGGAUUCAAUCAUUGCAGAUGGUAUAUUUUCGUACUUCACUUUUAGGGGUGGGUUAGAUUUACAUAAUAGCAUGUCUCAAAUUGUGCCAUUACUUUUUUAGAUAUAUGUUUUAGAUAUUUUCACUUCAUUUAGACAGUAAGGAAAUCAGAGGGGGAGACCGGCAGGUGGGAGGAACAGUGGACAUGGGGAUUGAACCCUGGUCCCCAGUCUUACAUGCGACUUGUUCCGGGGAAUGUUUCCACUACAACACGGCUCUGCACAGAGAGUGCCAUUUCUUGAAAAGAAAGUACAUGUUAUGUCAUUCUUUCUCUAAACAACAACAGACUUUAAGGGUACAGAUGGGAGGACUGAGUUGUCCAACACUGGCUCACUGCAAUAAAUGGCUCCUGCCUUCCACUGGUGCCAAAAGUCUUGUUCCCGUCAUGGGAGGGAGACAUGCAUGCAA
Oncorhynchus keta (chum salmon) is the source of this 1777-nucleotide long non-coding RNA. RefSeq lists it as uncharacterized. The transcript has 2 exons. Lineage: Eukaryota; Metazoa; Chordata; Actinopteri; Salmoniformes; Salmonidae. The record is from RefSeq and is a predicted model, not a curated record.